CACGUAACGUCUCGUAUAGCCGAGUAGUGCAGCUAUUUUCAUUUCGGCGCCCAUGUUAGCCAAUCUGUCUGGCCACACCGGCUGUUAACACAGUGA
Molecule: long non-coding RNA, 96 nt
Organism: Etheostoma spectabile (orangethroat darter)
Lineage: Eukaryota; Metazoa; Chordata; Actinopteri; Perciformes; Percidae
Exons: 3
Source: RefSeq, a predicted model, not a curated record